This 235-nucleotide unclassified non-coding RNA is filed under the name Oidiodendron sp. RNAcentral's name for it is "partial contains 5.8S ribosomal RNA, internal transcribed spacer 2, and large subunit ribosomal RNA". The stretch from base 1 to 52 matches the Rfam family "5.8S ribosomal RNA", at positions 103 to 154 of the family's 154-position model. Lineage: Eukaryota; Fungi; Ascomycota; Leotiomycetes; Myxotrichaceae. RNAcentral also lists the same sequence under 1 other name. The record is from RNAcentral.
AACGCACAUUGCGCCCUGUGGUAUUCCGCAGGGCAUGCCUGUUCGAGCGUCAUUUCAACCCUCAAGCUCUGCUUGGUGUUGGGCCCCGCCCCCGCGGCCGGCCCCAAAGACAGUGGCGGCGCCGCUUGGCCCUAAGCGUAGUACAUCCCUCGCUCUAGGACCCGGCGGUGGCCUGCCAGAACCCCCAACUCAUGUGGUUGACCUCGGAUCAGGUAGGGAUACCCGCUGAACUUAA